CUUGGUCAUAAUACUUUCUUAGUGAAAUAAAAUUGAAGAGUGCACCAGGUCGUAUUUUUUUUGAGGGAACACAGUACAACGCACGUACACAAACCCUACCCUUAUGAGCAUCUCCGAAGUCUGAUCAGCGGGGAUGGCGCCUAUCCCUGAAAGCACAAAACUAUUAGAAAAUCCUGGAAUAUUCGCUCCAAUCAGGAGUCAAACCAAGACCUUAGGUGCUACUAAGGCCCUUCUAACCACUAGGCUACAGGCC
Molecule: long non-coding RNA, 253 nt
Filed under: Oryza brachyantha (malo sina)
Lineage: Eukaryota; Viridiplantae; Streptophyta; Magnoliopsida; Poales; Poaceae
Description: long non-coding RNA (OBRA_LNC002620)
Source: RNAcentral